UAACACAUGCAAGUCGAGCGGAAAGGCCACUUCGGUGGUACUCGAGCGGCGAACGGGUGAGUAACACGUGAGUAAUCUGCCCCUGGCUUCGGGAUAGCCACCGGAAACGGUGAUUAAUACCGGAUAUGACAGACCCUCGCAUGGGGGUGUGUGGAAAGUUUUUCGGCCAGGGAUGUGCUCGCGGCCUAUCAGCUUGAUGGUGAGGUAAUGGCUCACCAUGGCUUCGACGGGUAGCCGGCCUGAGAGGGUGACCGGCCACACUGGGACUGAGACACGGCCCAGACUCCUACGGGAGGCAGCAGUGGGGAAUAUUGGACAAUGGGCGGAAGCCUGAUCCAGCAACGCCGCGUGAGGGAUGACGGCCUUCGGGUUGUAAACCUCUUUCAGUACCGACGAAGCGCAAGUGACGGUAGGUACAGAAGAAGCACCGGCCAACUACGUGCCAGCAGCCGCGGUAAUACGUAGGGUGCGAGCGUUGUCCGGAAUUAUUGGGCGUAAAGGGCUCGUAGGCGGUUUGUCGCGUCGGGAGUGAAAACGCCGUGCUUAACACGGCGCUUGCUUCCGAUACGGGCAGACUAGAGGUAUUCAGGGGAGAACGGAAUUCCUGGUGUAGCGGUGAAAUGCGCAGAUAUCAGGAGGACACCGUGGCGAAGCGGUUCUCUGGGAUGACCUGACGCUGAGGAGCGA
Molecule: ribosomal RNA, 687 nt
Filed under: uncultured Actinomycetes bacterium
Lineage: Bacteria; Bacillati; Actinomycetota; Actinomycetes
Description: bacterial SSU rRNA
Rfam family: Bacterial small subunit ribosomal RNA
Source: RNAcentral